UAAUAAUGUCACUUUUGUUCUGCAGCUACUCACAUCGGCAUUUUCAUUGAUUGAUGACUGAAUAUAUCUAUUUUUCAAAAGUAACGCAAUUUCCGGCCUACAAACUGCGACUUUUUUCACACGCUUUCAACCCUGAGGUUUAUGCGGUGAUGCAGCUAAUUUGUGCAUUUUUUCUAACGGCCGCAAGGGGGCGCUCAGUUGGAAAAGGUAAGAAUGAGACUGGUGGCCAAGGAAGUGACCUUCACACCGGCCCUGUUAGUGCUGGGCUAGCGUUAGCGCUGUGCUGACGUGUUUCAGUGAUAUUUACUGACUUGGCAGCCGGCGAGCACCUCAGGAGCCAUCUGACGUGGCCAGAAAUACUUUCCACGGGUGUCAAACACAAGGCCCGGGGGCCGGAUGCGGCCCGCUGCAUGAUUUUAUGUGGCCCUCGUGUGUCCAAUUAAUGCAUGUUUUUGGGAUAUGGGAGGAAACCAGAGUGCCCGGAGAAAACCCACGCAGGCACGGGGAGAACUCUCAAACUCCACACAGGCAGGCCAACGCUUUACCAGCUGCUCCACCGUGCCGCCUAUCCCAAAAACAUGCAACAUUAAUUGGACAGUCUAAAUUGCCACCAUCAGGCUCCUGCACUUCUGCGACCCUCGUGGGGAUAAGCGGCUAAGAAAAUGGAUGGAUGG
Syngnathoides biaculeatus (alligator pipefish) is the source of this 674-nucleotide long non-coding RNA. RefSeq lists it as uncharacterized. NCBI's taxonomy places the organism in Eukaryota, Metazoa, Chordata, Actinopteri, Syngnathiformes, Syngnathidae. The transcript is spliced from 3 exons. The record is from RefSeq and is a predicted model, not a curated record.